Molecule: non-coding RNA, 225 nt
Filed under: Bacillus sp. (in: firmicutes)
Lineage: Bacteria; Bacillati; Bacillota; Bacilli; Caryophanales; Bacillaceae
Description: Bacillus sp. T-box sequence
Rfam family: T-box leader
About the family: Uncharged tRNA acts as the effector for transcription antitermination of genes in the T-box leader family. T-boxes are found upstream of many aminoacyl-tRNA synthetase genes and some amino acid biosynthetic genes usually in Gram-positive bacteria.
Source: RNAcentral
GCAAACACCUUGAUUGGGAGUAUUAAGGAAUCAUUUAUUGUUUAGAGAGCUGUCGGUUGGUGAAAGACAGUCGAUAAAAUCCCCAACUCGCCCAUAAGUGGUAAGGCUGAUCAUUCAUUAGGUCUUAACGGUUGACUUCCGUAAUCGGUUGUAAAGUGGAUUUGUUUGUCAUUGUAAACAAAUCAAAAAGAGUGGUACCACGCAGGUUAAGCCUUCGUCUCUUAU